GGGGAUCUGUUAGAGCAAUCGAAGCAGUGAACUUAAGCCCCAGUAAACGGCGGCCGUAACUAUAACGGUCCUAAGGUAGCGAAAUUCCUUGUCGGGUAAGUUCCGACCCGCACGAAAGGCGUAACGAUUUGGGCACUGUCUCAACAACAGACUCGGUGAAAUUGUAAUUCCGGUGAAGAUGCCGGAUACCUGCGACAGGACGGAAAGACCCC
RNAcentral lists this ribosomal RNA (212 nucleotides) under Clostridioides difficile. RNAcentral's name for it is "partial 23S ribosomal RNA". It matches the Rfam family "Bacterial large subunit ribosomal RNA", at positions 1881 to 2092 of the family's 2925-position model. The record is from RNAcentral. Lineage: Bacteria; Bacillati; Bacillota; Clostridia; Peptostreptococcales; Peptostreptococcaceae.